RNAcentral lists this long non-coding RNA (3428 nucleotides) under Sus scrofa (pig). Its description in RNAcentral is "lncRNA (ENSSSCG00015058086.1)". Lineage: Eukaryota; Metazoa; Chordata; Mammalia; Artiodactyla; Suidae. The record is from RNAcentral.
AGAUGAAGACCCUGAGACCCAGACAUAUCUAAGAACAUUCUAGAUACACAGUUAAGAAACGACAGGGCUGAGAUUUGAUCCAGGACAGUCUAGCUCCCUUAAGGCAUAUAUUGCCUCAGAGGCUCUGGUCAGCACAAUGAAACAGGGAAAGUGGCAGGAGGAAGCAGUGCAAGGAGAAUGCUUCAGAGAAAAGUCUGCAAAGUUUUGGGGGACCCUGAGGGAUGAACUACCACCGACAAAUGAGGCAAGAAAAGCUGUGGCGUUUGGGGGAGCAAUCUGCCACAUUGUUACUAAUAUUUUCUGGUCAUUGCUACUUCUGAAUAAGCUUUAGUUUGAGCGAAAGAAUUCCACUUUGUUCCUAAGGGUCCUUCAGGCUUGAUACGUCUUGGAAGUCCUCUACUGCUUCCUGAAUGCACACACGUAAAGAUUUCAGCAUCAGCCACCCAAAGACUUACCUAAAUUGCUGGCUGGAUUUGGGAACCACGUAGGUAUAUGUGAGCAGAGGAAAGGAGCUGACUUUGGGGAGACUGAACUCCAAUGGGAGGAAAUUAGUGGGUAAAUGAAAUGAGUUAAGUGGCACAAAUAAAGGAUGCCUGUGAGCAAGGGCGGCAGGUACCUGUAUGAAAAAGGUGCAUCCUGUUCGUGGUUUAGAUACUCUGGGAUCUGAAGAAGUUGGACUCCAAGUCUUGUGAGGUUUGCACAUCUGUGACCCUAGAGACUGGUCACCAGCUUGGCUGAAAAGUCACUGGGGGAGGGAAGCAGCACAGACAAUCACCUAGUGGACUCAGUUUUCACCCUUCUAAAUUUCCUGGGAAUGCACACAUUUAGAUGUAUUCUUUCAACUUUUUAUGCCACAUUCUAAUUUCCAUCUGUCACCUCAAUUCAGCCACAAGGGAUAAGGCGUCUUAAAGUCGUUUGGGCAAAAGCAAAGCAAGACUCACACUGUGGCCCAAACGCUCAAGAUUAUUAGUGUCUUAAACCGAGCUAUUUCCCUCACCUAUGAAAUUCCAAGUAGUGCCUUCCUUUGUGGUCCAGAGAAAGUGGACCUUCUCCAAAGGCAAUUUUCACAUCUAGGAAAAACUGAUCCAGUGACAUCUAUCAUUAAUGCCCAUCUCUGGUGGACAAUGGAUGUUCGAGCCUGCCAAAUCCUUUCCUUUCCUCUGGGGAUCCCAUCCCCCACCCCCGUUCUUGCAGCCGGCAGGGGGCUGGUCCCCUAGGGUCCUGGCUCUGGAGGGGAGGCGAUGGCCCCGACCAAACACAUGUUCCACAAAGCAACCCCAGGGUAGGUCCUCCCGCACCAAUCCAGGUCAAUAAGCCUCAAAUCUAGGACUCUGAGAACUACGUGAAAGGAAAAGCUCCGUCUAUAGGGAAUGCUCACUGUAAGAAUGAUUUAAAGACUGGAAUUUCUGAGGCGGUAUUUCUCCCUCAGGGGGAUUCAGGCAAAGGAUGAAGGCAACACAGAAGUCAGUGAAUUUGGGGCCAUAAAAACGAGUUUCUGGUGAUGCUACCAACCUAUCUGGAUCCGGCCAUGCCAGAAGCCAGGGUCACUGCUGGACUUUUCAAAAUGGGAGCUAAUAAGUCAUUUUAGCAUGUUCUUAAGCUGGGUUGAACUGACUCCUCUGUCACUUACACGCAAGGGUCCUGAUACCAUCUCUAUUGAGGGUGCUCCAGGCUGCUUCCAGAAAACUUAGAGCAUGUUGUGAAAUUAAAAAAAAAAAAAUAUGUACGAUAUUUAUAAUGAGUUCAUUCUAAUAUAAAGUAGGAAUAUACAUGUGGGAUAUGAAUGUCCUGAAAGCCAGAAGACAGCAAGAGGGCAGAGCGACUGAUUAAAAGGAGGAAUCACUCCCUCCAAGGUGAUGGAUUCACGAUUCGCUAGGGCUUGACAGUCCAGGACAGGAGCCCUAAGCCACAUGUGGCGAUGGAGCACUUGCUCUCUGGCUGGCACAGUGGACGUGUGCCCUAAGUGUGAAGGCCACUAGGUGCCAACCAAAGAACCCAAGGAGUCUCAUCAAUCAUUUUUAUAUUGAUGACGGGGUCAACGUAAAAACAUCUGGCAAACAGGAGGUUCAAUUAAAAGUACUACUGCCAUGAUUUUCACCUGUUUCUUUUGGACCUGUUAUAGUACAGCUACUGGACAAUUUUCAAUUACAUACGUGGCACGUGUUCUGUUUUUACUGGACAGGGUGGCAUGAGACCUGUAAUGGUUAUAAGGUUCUGCUUUAUGUUGAACCGAAAACCCCUGCCCUGACACACCCACCCUGGUUUUCCUUAUCUUGAACUAAUGUGGUUGACCCAGAGUGGGAGGAGAGGGUGAAAAAUGAGUCAAAUCCAUUCUUCACAGUACAGCCCCUCGGCGAUUUGAAGCAGCUCCCAGAUUCUUCCCAUAACUUCUCUUUUCUGGGCCAAACACCCCACGUCCCUCCCUUGUCUUUGGAACCUUCCAGCUUCCCUUAAAAUAGGGGGCUCAGCAUUCUUGCUGGCUCGCCAGCCAGAGACACCAGCUUUCCAUUAAUGUGACCCUGAUGUUAUUAGCAUCUUUGGUACCUGAGGCCUCCACCAGAGAUUCUCAAAGGCUAACCCUCAGACCAGGGGCAUCAGCAUCUCCCGAGAACUAGUCUGAAAUGCAGAUUCUCUGGCUCCACCUAAAACCUCCCGCAUCACCAAGUCCGGGGUGGGGGCGGGACCCAGCAACAGAGCUUUAAUGAACCUUCCAGGUUUGAAAGAGUGUGAGAACGGCUCAUUCCCAAAGCCAUCUAAAAUAUUCUGCCUUUUGGCCAGGUUUCCCCUGUUUGAUUUUUUUACGAUUAUGCAGGCAUCCGCCUUUUGUUGCUGUUAGUGCAUCAGAAUCUUGGUCCAUGUUCUCGCUGUCUGAGCCUCAGGAAUAGAGUCAUUUCUCCCUGCUUUGUGGCAACUACACCUUGAACAAUGCCGUGUUCAUCUUUAUCCACAGCUCUGAUAUGGACACUGAGCAACACAAGCUCCACAGCAGGCUCACACUUCCUUUCCCUUCACGCCGAGGGUCGUGCUGUUGCCUCUGCCUCAGAGAUGCUUCUGAAGCCCGACUCCCUCACUCUACAGUGGCUCUUCCCGGCUAGCUCCACUUACACAGUGCCUCCAUCAAGAAAGCUGGGUUUAGGGUGGGUCAUUUGAGUCGUGUGUGGACAGCUAUCAGCGUUUGAUGAAUGACUCCCUUCCUCCGUGGAACGCUGGUUCUCCAGCGGGGUGAUUUUGCCCCUGGAGGGCACUUGGCAACGUCUAGACACAUUUUUAAUUGCCACAACUGGGGCUUGCUACUGGCAUCUAGUGGGUCAAGGCCGAAGAUGCUAUUAAACAUCUUUCAAAGGCACAGGGCAGGCUCCCCUAGUACAGAAUGAUUUGGCUCCAAGAGUCAACAGUGCGGAGGGGGAUAAACCUGCUCCAGAAUGCAA